Passer montanus (Eurasian tree sparrow) is the source of this 1373-nucleotide long non-coding RNA. RefSeq lists it as uncharacterized. The record is from RefSeq and is a predicted model, not a curated record. Lineage: Eukaryota; Metazoa; Chordata; Aves; Passeriformes; Passeridae. The transcript is spliced from 3 exons.
GAGGGAUGGAUCUGCAGGGAACACCCUUGGGGAAAACCUUCCUGCCUGUGAGAUCUCAGGGGCAAAGGCAGCGAGCAUUUCCUUUCCCUUUCAAAGCAGAGGGAAAAUGCCAGCAAAGAGCUCCCGGGGAGAAGAUUUGUCACCAGGCAGGCUGGGGCGUCACACUGAGCAGAGUCUGGACAUCUCAGAGCUGCAGCAGUGCCCUUCCCAGGCACCCUCCAGAACUCUGCCAUCUGCAUCCCAGUGUGCUGCUCUGCCCUGUCCUUGCCAGGGCACAGGAUUCUGCAGCUCCACCUGCCCCCAGGACAUCAGGGAGCUUCUGGAGAUCUGCAGGGCACAGGAUUCUGCAGCUCCACCUGCCCCCAGGACAUCAGGGAGCUUCUGGAGAUCUGCAGGGCACAGGAUUCUGCAGCUCCACCUGCCCCCAGGACAUCAGGGAGCUUCUGGAGAUCCUCCCCCCGCAGCGUGUGCCCAGCCCAGAGCAUCCUGCCUUGCUGAGGGACAGCACACGAGCUGCUCUCCCUGAUUUUAUUCCCCAUUUCAGGCUGUCGGGGCAGCUGGAAUAUCUGCAGUGAGUUGCACAGGUCUUUGCAACUCAUCUGCAGCUUUCCUGUCCCCGGCAGAAUGGAAAAUUUCAACCAAAAGAAUGAUUUGUUGCUGUUUUUGCAGCAGCAGAAGCUCCCUCCUGACCCAAAGGCUCCUCGCCCUGCCAGCUCUGUGACUCGGAUCCUUGGGGAAGAAAUGCAGCUCACGGUGGAGUAACCCUCCAAAUUUUCCAGCCCAUGAGAGGCCCAGUGGUUGUGACAGCGCAGAAUCUCUGCUGUGACACUGCCAUCCAUCACCAGGCAGGCGUCUGGGCACCGCCAGGAGAAAGACAAACAGCAUCUGUCCGAGCUCAGUGGGGAGGCACCGCAGCUCUCCCAGCUGUCCCUGUGUCUGGGAGCCCAGGACAAAGCAGGAUUCAAGGACAGCAUUUCCAGCCCUUCAUCCCCCUGGACAGGAGGGGCUGCGGGGAGGAGACCCCAGCACACGACAAGGGACAGGCUGAGUGACAGCCCCUCAGCCUCUGUGUCACCCCAGUGGCCUUUGAGACAUCUCCAACUGGCAAAAGGUCCUUGAAAAGGCUCCUGGUUGCUCACUCAGGAUUUCUGUUAUCCACAAUUCUGGGAUCUGAGAUGUUCUGGGCUGGGAAGACAGGAGGGUCCUGGUGGAUGAAAUGGACAACAAAGGAGCUCAGGCACAGAAGGUUCUGCAGAUUCCUGCAGUGUUCCUCCUGGAAAUCAUCCCCCUCAUUUCCCCUGGCUCUGAAUCCUGGCUCCUGUGACCCUGAACACCCUGGCUGGCUGUAAUUAAAGGCCCAGCAAUUGCCUGUU